CGCGGGGAAUCUUACCGGGUCCGGACACACUGAGGGACAGACAGUUGUCUUUCCCUCCCUUCGGGGUGGGAUUACAAAAGAUAACAGAUCUUUCAUGAUCAUGUGAUGGGUGGUGCAUGGCCGUUCUUAGUUCGUGGAGUGAUCUGUCUGCUUAAUUGCGUUUCAAAUUUUAUAUUUGUUAACAUGCGAGUCUUCAAUGACGGCCACUCCACCUUAUAGACAUUAUAUGAUAUGCACAUUUGUGUAUUUGAUUAUAACUUGUCUGGAGUCUGGCUCGAUUUUUUUGACUCAAUUGAACGCAACGGACGUGAUUGCAAGUCCUUGUUGAACAAAUUAUAUAUAUACUACUUCAUCAUUAGUAUAUAUAGUUCGCUUCUCAUGUCGUAGCAGUCAAACGGGCGGGCGUCUUAAUUGGCGCGGUCACGAGGCUUAAUAUGCUGCGGCUGGGGAAAACUUGGGCGACCGCUGUAAUACUUCUCUCUUAAACCAGAGGAAGAUUGCGGCAAUAACAGGUCUGUGAUG
This 522-nucleotide ribosomal RNA is filed under the name Globigerinella siphonifera. RNAcentral describes it as "bacterial SSU rRNA". It matches the Rfam family "Eukaryotic small subunit ribosomal RNA", at positions 1204 to 1469 of the family's 1831-position model. The record is from RNAcentral. Lineage: Eukaryota; Foraminifera; Rotaliida; Globigerinidae.